This 253-nucleotide ribosomal RNA is filed under the name uncultured bacterium. RNAcentral describes it as "partial 16S ribosomal RNA". It matches the Rfam family "Bacterial small subunit ribosomal RNA", at positions 524 to 776 of the family's 1533-position model. The record is from RNAcentral.
UACGAAGGGGGCUAGCGUUGUUCGGAAUUACUGGGCGUAAAGCGCACGCAGGCGGAUUUAUAAGUCAGGGGUGAAAUCCCGGGGCUCAACCUCGGAAUUGCCUUUGAUACUGUCUAUCUUGAGUCCGGGAGAGGUGAGUGGAAUUCCUAGUGUAGAGGUGAAAUUCGUAGAUAUUAGGAAGAACACCAGUGGCGAAGGCGGCUCACUGGCUCGAUACUGACGAUGAGGUGCGAAAGCGUGGGGAGCAAACAGG